RNAcentral lists this ribosomal RNA (822 nucleotides) under Triticum aestivum (bread wheat). RNAcentral describes it as "partial small subunit ribosomal RNA". The record is from RNAcentral. Lineage: Eukaryota; Viridiplantae; Streptophyta; Magnoliopsida; Poales; Poaceae.
AUGGCGUGUCAAACUAUGCUUGUUAAGAUCACACCUCCACUAAAAAUCAAGGAAAUAUCUUCACUUGAAGAGAAAGCCACAACAGAGACUUGCCAUGUGAGGAAGACAUGGGUUUUAACGAAAAGCCACCUACAUAGGUUGCAGAUCUGCGAAAAGUGCAAACAGUGGACGGCUUCUAAGUUAGGAGUCAAAGAGUUCUUACCACCGUACAUUGGAGAUGAUCUUGAACUAAGUGACCUACUUACUGGUGUCGCAUUUGCCUCUGGAGGCAGUGGAUAUGAUCCCUUAACUUCGAUACCCGCGACUGCUACUUCAAGUACCGGGCAACUUGAAUUAUUUCUUGAAUAUAAGGAUAAGCUAAUAACUUUAGUCGGGGAGGAGGAAGCGACACGUGUUAUCUCUGAAGGCAUUUACUUUACUGCCAUGGGAGCAAAUGACAUUGCAAAUAAUUAUUUUUCAAUUCUGCUAAGGCGCCAUCAAUAUGAUCUUCCUUCUUAUGUGAAAUUUCUUAUCUCUUCCGCAGUCAAUUUUACUAUGGAAUUAAAUGAUAUUGGUGCAAAGAGGAUUGGUUUCUUCGGAAUUCCGCCAAUUGGAUGUUGUCCAUCCGAAAGAAAACAUGGAUCAAGAGAAUGUGACACACUUCAGAAUCAAGCAGCAGAAUUAUUCAAUUCUAGAAUAGAAAAGGAAAUUGAGAGAUUAAAUGCAGAACGAAAUGUUCAUGAUUCAAGGUUUGCUUAUCUUGAUAUAUACUACAAUCUGCUUGAUCUCAUUCAACAACAUGAUUUUUAUGGAAAACAACUUUCACAUGGAGAAAGUCAGUAG